GAUGAACGCUAGCUACAGGCUUAACACAUGCAAGUCGAGGGGAAACGAUAUUGGAAGCUUGCUUCCGAUAGGCGUCGACCGGCGCACGGGUGAGUAACGCGUAUCCAACCUGCCCAUCACUUGGGGAUAACCUUGCGAAAGUAAGACUAAUACCCAAUGACGUCUCUAGAAGACAUCUGAAAGAGAUUAAAGAUUUAUCGGUGAUGGAUGGGGAUGCGUCUGAUUAGCUUGUUGGCGGGGUAACGGCCCACCAAGGCGACGAUCAGUAGGGGUUCUGAGAGGAAGGUCCCCCCANAUUGGAACUGAGACACGGUCCAAAACUCCUACGGGAGGCAGCAGUGAGGAAUAUUGGGUCAAAUGGGACGAGAGUCUGAACCAGCCAAGUAGCGUGCAGGAAGACGGCCCUUAAUGGGUUGUAAACUGCUUUUAUAAGGGAAUAAAGUGAGUCUCGUGAGACUUUUUGCAUGUACCUUAUGAAUAAGGACCGGCUAAUUCCGUGCCAGCAGCCG
This 509-nucleotide ribosomal RNA is filed under the name uncultured bacterium. Its description in RNAcentral is "bacterial SSU rRNA". It matches the Rfam family "Bacterial small subunit ribosomal RNA", at positions 28 to 517 of the family's 1533-position model. The record is from RNAcentral.